CAAGGCUUGACAUACACGAGAACAUCCCAGAAAUGGGGGACUCUUUGGACACUCGUGAACAGGUGGUGCAUGGUUGUCGUCAGCUCGUGUCGUGAGAUGUUGGGUUAAGUCCCGCAACGAGCGCAACCCUCGUUCUAUGUUGCCAGCACGUAAUGGUGGGAACUCAUGGGAUACUGCCGGGGUCAACUCGGAGGAAGGUGGGGAUGACGUCAAAUCAUCAUGCCCCUUAUGUCUUGGGCUUCACGCAUGCUACAAUGGCCGGUACAAAGGGCUGCAAUACCGUGAGGUGGAGCGAAUCCCAAAAAGCCGGUCCCAGUUCGGAUUGAGGUCUGCAACUCGACCUCAUGAAGUCGGAGUCGCUAGUAAUCGCAGAUCAGCAACGCUGCGGUGAAUA
This 394-nucleotide ribosomal RNA is filed under the name uncultured bacterium. RNAcentral describes it as "bacterial SSU rRNA". It matches the Rfam family "Bacterial small subunit ribosomal RNA", at positions 975 to 1368 of the family's 1533-position model. The record is from RNAcentral.